RNAcentral lists this ribosomal RNA (253 nucleotides) under uncultured bacterium. Its description in RNAcentral is "partial 16S ribosomal RNA". It matches the Rfam family "Bacterial small subunit ribosomal RNA", at positions 524 to 776 of the family's 1533-position model. The record is from RNAcentral.
UACGGGGGGGGCAAGCGUUGUUCGGAAUUACUGGGCGUAAAGGGCUCGUAGGCGGCCAACUAAGUCACACGUGAAAUCCCUCGGCUCAACCGGGGAACUGCGUGUGAGACUGGAUGGCUUGAGUUUGGGAGAGGAAUGCGGAAUUCCAGGUGUAGCGGUGAAAUGCGUAGAUAUCUGGAGGAACACCGAUGGCGAAGGCAGCCCCCUGGGUCAACACUGACGCUCAUGCACGAAAGCGUGGGGAGCAAACAGG